Molecule: ribosomal RNA, 696 nt
Filed under: uncultured archaeon
Lineage: Archaea
Description: bacterial SSU rRNA
Rfam family: Archaeal small subunit ribosomal RNA
Source: RNAcentral
GCUAUCGAGGUUCGACUAAGCCAUGCGAGUCGAAUGUAGCAAUACAUGGCGAACUGCUCAGUAACACGUGGACAACCUGCCCUUAGGACGGGGAUAAACCCGGGAAACUGGGUAUAAUACCCGAUAGGUCUCGAUUGCUGGAAUGCAUCGAGAUUUAAAGCUCCGGCGCCUAAGGAUGGGUCUGCGGCCUAUCAGGUAGUAGUGGGUGUAGCGUACCUACUAGCCUACGACGGGUACGGGUUGUGAGAGCAAGAGCCCGGAGAUGGAUUCUGAGACACGAAUCCAGGCCCUACGGGGUGCAGCAGGCGCGAAAACUUUACAAUGCUGGCAACAGCGAUAAGGGAACCUCGAGUGCCAGGUUACAAAUCUGGCUGUCGAGAUGCCUAAAAAGCAUUUCAUAGCAAGGGCCGGGCAAGACCGGUGCCAGCCGCCGCGGUAACACCGGCGGCUCGAGUGGUAACCGUUAUUAUUGGGUCUAAAGGGUCUGUAGCCGGCCGGAUAAGUCUCUUGAGAAAUCUGGCAGCUUAACUGUCAGGCUUUCAGGAGAUACUGUCUGGCUCGAGGCCGGGAGAGGUGAGAGGUACUUCAGGGGUAGGGGUGAAAUCUUGUAAUCCUUGAAGGACCACCAGUGGCGAAGGCGUCUCACCAGAACGGACCUGACGGCAAGGGACGAAAGCUAGGGGCACGAACCGGAUU